GAGAGCUGAGAAUGGGAGAAGAAUGGAGUGUGUGAGCAGCAUGGCGGCCUCCUCUCCUCUCCUCACUUCACUCUCACGGCCUACCUUUACCCGCCUGCCUGCUCGGCGCCCAGAACACCUUCCACCAUGACUGCCUCAGCAUGUUCCCACUUAAACAAAGUCAUUAAGCAUGUGUACAUGUCCCUGUCUCAGGGUGAGAGAGUCCAGGCCAUGUAUAUCUGGAUCGAUGUUACUGGAGAAGGACUGCGCUGCAAGACCCGGACCCGGGACAGUGAGCCCAAGUGUGUGGAAGAGUUACCACCAUGCCUGGCCUGGCAUUUUGAUGGCUCUAGUAUUUUACAGUCUGAAGGCACCAACAGUGACAUGCAUUUCGUGCCUGCUGCCAUGUUUUGGGAUACCUUCAGUAAAGACCCUACAAGCUGGUGUUCUGUGAAGUUUUCAAGUACAACCAAAAGGCUGCAGAGACCAAUUUGAGGCACACCUGUAAGUGGAUAAUGGACAUGGUGAGCAACCAGUUCCCCUGGUUUGGCAUGGACCAGGAAUAUCCCCUCAUGGGGACAGAUGGGCACCCCUUUGGUUGGCCUUCCAAUGGCUUCCCAGGACCCCAGGUCCAUAUUACUGCAGUGUGGGAGCAGACUAAGCCUAUGGUAUGGACAUUGUGGAGGCCCAUUACCAGGCCUGCUUGUAUGCUGGAGUCAAGAUGGCGGGGACUAAUGCUGAGGUCACACCUGCCCAGUGGGAAUUUCAAAUCGGAUGCUGUGAAGGAAUCAGCAUGGGAGAUCAUUUCUGAGUGGCCUGUUUCAUUUUGCAUCAUGUAUGUGAAGACUUUGGAGUGAUAGCAACCUUUGAUCCUAAGCCCAUUCCUGGGAACUGGAAGGGUACAGGCUGCCAUACCAACUUUAGCACCAAGGCCAUGUGGGAGGAGAAUAGUCUGAAGUACAUUGAGGAGGCCAUCGAGAAACUAAGCAAGUGUCACUAGUACCACAUCCGUGCCUAUGAUCUCAAGGGAGGCCUGGACAAAGCCCAGCAUGUAGCUGGAUUCCAUGAAACCUCCAACAUCAACGACUUUUCUGCUGGUGUAGCCAAUUGUAGGGCCAACAUAUGCAUUCCCUGGACUGUUGGCCAGGGGAAGAAGGGUUACUUUGAAGACCGUCGCCACUCUGCCAACUGCGAACCCUUUUCGGUGACAGAAGCCCUCAUCCACAUGUGUCUUCCCAGUGAAACCGGCAGUGAGCUCUUCCAGUACAAAAACUAAGUGGACCAGACCUCCAGCCAUUGAGCCCUUCCUAGUUCUUUAUCCCACUCCAACUCUUCCCCAUCUCCCAGUUGUCCCAAUUGCAACUCAAAGGGUGGAAUAUAAAGG
Mandrillus leucophaeus (drill) is the source of this 1363-nucleotide RNA transcript. It is a transcript of the gene named glutamine synthetase-like, with no coding region annotated. Lineage: Eukaryota; Metazoa; Chordata; Mammalia; Primates; Cercopithecidae. The transcript has 2 exons. The record is from RefSeq and is a predicted model, not a curated record.